UGGGGAAUAUUGGACAAUGGGCGAAAGCCUGAUCCAGCCAUGCCGUGUGUGAAGAAGGUCUUCGGAUUUUAAAGCACUUUAAGUUGGGAGGAAGGGCAGUAAGCGAAUACCUUGCUGUUUUGACGUUACCGACAGAAUAAGCACCGGCUAACUCUGUGCCAGCAGCCGCGGUAAUACAGAGGGUGCAAGCGUUAAUCGGAAUUACUGGGCGUAAAGCGCGCGUAGGUGGUUCGUUAAGUUGAAUGUGAAAGCCCCGGGCUCAACCUGGGAACUGCAUCCAAAACUGGCGAGCUAGGGUAAGGCGGAGGGUGGUGGAAUUUCCUGUGUAGCGGUGAAAUGCGUAGAUAUAGGAAGGAACACCAGGGGCGAAGGCGACCACCUGGGCUCAUACUGACACUGAGGUGCGAAAGCGUGGGGAGCAAACAGG
Molecule: ribosomal RNA, 427 nt
Filed under: Pseudomonadota bacterium
Lineage: Bacteria; Pseudomonadati; Pseudomonadota
Description: Proteobacteria bacterium partial 16S ribosomal RNA
Rfam family: Bacterial small subunit ribosomal RNA
Source: RNAcentral